Molecule: ribosomal RNA, 397 nt
Filed under: uncultured bacterium
Lineage: Bacteria
Description: bacterial SSU rRNA
Rfam family: Bacterial small subunit ribosomal RNA
Source: RNAcentral
GACGAACGCUGGCGGCGUGCUUAACACAUGCAAGUCGAGCGGUAAGGCCCUUUCGGGGGUACACGAGCGGCGAACGGGUGAGUAACACGUGGGUGACCUGCCCUUAGCUCUGGGAUAAGCCUGGGAAACUGGGUCUAAUACCGGAUAUGACUCCAUGACGCAUGUUGUGGGGUGGAAAGCCUUGUGCGGCUAGGGGAUGGGCCCGCGGCCUAUCAGCUUGUUGGUGGGGUGAUGGCCUACCAAGGCGACGACGGGUAGCCGGCCUGAGAGGGCGACCGGCCACACUGGGACUGAGACACGGCCCAGACUCCUACGGGAGGCAGCAGUGGGGAAUCUUGCGCAAUGGGCGAAAGCCUGACGCAGCGACGCCGCGUGGGGAUGACGGCCUCGGUUGUAA